AAAUAGAUGUGUUUGAUUAUGGCACAGAUGUAAGCUAGUAAAUAAGAAUAAACAUGCUAGUCGAAUAAUAUAUGAUAAAUAUAAUGUGGCGUAAAAAUGAGUAAAAGGAUUAAAGAUACCUUUAUAAUUAUUAAUAAUAUAAAGAAUCAAGAUCCCCUGAUUAGAUUGUUGGAUAAGGUAAAAGCUUAGCCAAGUCGUUGAUCAGUAACUGGCUUUAUCGAGCGAACAGUCAUGCAGAUUAUGAGAAAGGAUCUGUCUAUUUUUUAAUAAAAUAGGCUGCAGUUAAGAGUAUUUGGCAAUGAACGAAAGUUUGACCAAGUUAAUUUACGUUUAGGAAGAAGGUGUAUUAACUGUAAACUAAUAGAAACUAAUAAAAAAAUGAUUAAAAUUAGUGUAAGGGCUGUCUAACCAGUUGUGCCAGCAGACGCGGUUAUACAACGAGCUCGAGUUUAUAUCAGUAUUACUAGAUUUUAAAGACCUGAAGGCUGCAUAUAAAGAUAAAAAAGUUGAAAGACUAGUAUAAAACUAGAAAGUUUUUAUUUAAUGCUUGAAUAGACAGAAAGUAAAUUGAAGUGUAGAUAAAGCAGUAGAAUGUGUUAACAUCUAUAAGAAAACCAUAUUUGAAAAAUAUUUACUUCUAUAUAUUGACGCUGCAGGGUGAAAGUAUGGAAAGCAACACAGAUUAGAUACCUGUUUAGUCCAUACUGUAAACUAUAAAUGUUGGGGAAAUUAUGAUUUAAUUAAAGGUAUUUUAUCUUUGAGAAGAACAUAUUUCUCUAAGAGAAAUCAAUAACAUUUUAUCUGGGAACUAAAAUCGCAAGAUUCAAAUCCAAAUAAAUUGACGGCAUUCCAAAAAACUGGUGUAGUAUGAAGCUUAAUUCGAUAAUCCGCGCAGAAACUUACCAAAAUUAGAAUUCUAAUUAAUAUACUUUUUUAAAGUAUUAAAUUAAAAAUAACAGGUGUUGCAUGGUCGUUUUCAGUUCGUGAUUUGAGUUUUUAACCAAGACUUUAGAACGGGCAAAACCUACCGAAUUAUAAUUAAUUAAAUUCGACUACUUAUAGACUAAAACUGAUCCUUAUGACCUAUAUAUUUUGGGCCGCAUUUGUGCUACAUUAAUAGAUACAAAAAAGAAAACAAAAUACUUAACUUUGUUUAGAAUUAAUUUCUAUUAAGUACGGACUGUUUUCUGGAACUCGAAAACAUGAAGAAGGAAUCAGAAGUAAUUAAAUUAUAGAACGAUUUAAUGAAUAAUAAUAAGAAUCACAGAUGAAUAAAAGAUUU
This 1282-nucleotide ribosomal RNA is filed under the name Ministeria vibrans. Its description in RNAcentral is "small subunit ribosomal RNA". It matches the Rfam family "Bacterial small subunit ribosomal RNA". Lineage: Eukaryota; Filasterea; Ministeriida; Ministeriidae. The record is from RNAcentral.